RNAcentral lists this transfer RNA (72 nucleotides) under Zhuliangozyma blackwelliae. Its description in RNAcentral is "Candida blackwelliae tRNA-His". It matches the Rfam family "tRNA". Rfam says of the family: Transfer RNA (tRNA) molecules are approximately 80 nucleotides in length. Their secondary structure includes four short double-helical elements and three loops (D, anti-codon, and T loops). Lineage: Eukaryota; Fungi; Ascomycota; Pichiomycetes; Serinales; Debaryomycetaceae. The record is from RNAcentral.
GGUAAUUGUAGUUUAAUGGUAAAACAUUAGCAUGUGGAGCUUUAGAUUCGGGUUCAAUUCCCGGCUAUUACC